This 520-nucleotide ribosomal RNA is filed under the name uncultured bacterium. RNAcentral's name for it is "partial 16S ribosomal RNA". It matches the Rfam family "Bacterial small subunit ribosomal RNA", at positions 28 to 523 of the family's 1533-position model. The record is from RNAcentral.
GACGAACGCUGGCGGCGUGCUUAACACAUGCAAGUCGAACGGACUACUUUGCUUCGGUAAGGUGGUUAGUGGCGAACGGGUGAGUGACGCGUAGACAACCUACCUCUUAGAUGGGGACAACAUCGCGAAAGCGGUGCUAAUACCGAAUGAAGUGGCUUUCCUGCAUGGGAGAGAUACUAAAGGUGGCCUCUAUUUAUAAGCUACCACUGAGAGAUGGGUCUGCGUCUGAUUAGCUAGUUGGCGGGGUAACGGCCCACCAAGGCGACGAUCAGUAGCCGGUCUGAGAGGAUGAACGGCCACAUUGGGACUGAGACACGGCCCAAACUCCUACGGGAGGCAGCAGUGGGGAAUCUUCCGCAAUGGACGAAAGUCUGACGGAGCAACGCCGCGUGAGUGAAGAAGGUUUUCGGAUCGUAAAGCUCUGUUGCUUGAGACGAAUGUGCCUGUUUCGAAUAGGGAUAGGUAAUGACGGUAUUAAACGAGAAAGCCACGGCUAACUACGUGCCAGCCGCCGCCGUAA